UCUGGCAAUGAUGGCGAAGAGGUCACACCCGUUCCCAUUCCGAACACGGAAGUUAAGUUCUUCAGCGCCGAUGGUAGUUGGGGGUUUCCCCCUGUGAGAGUAGGACGUUGCCGGGC
RNAcentral lists this ribosomal RNA (116 nucleotides) under Peribacillus frigoritolerans. RNAcentral also lists the same sequence under 1 other name. Lineage: Bacteria; Bacillati; Bacillota; Bacilli; Caryophanales; Bacillaceae. The record is from RNAcentral.